RNAcentral lists this long non-coding RNA (742 nucleotides) under Numida meleagris (helmeted guineafowl). RNAcentral describes it as "lncRNA (ENSNMEG00000000437.1)". Lineage: Eukaryota; Metazoa; Chordata; Aves; Galliformes; Numididae. The record is from RNAcentral.
CCCACUAUGGGUCCCGCUAUGGGUCCUGCUACGUGUCCUGCUAUGGGUCCCGCUAUGGGUCCUGCUAUGGGUCCCGCUAUGGGUUCCACUAUGGGUCACUGAGUCCCGCUAUGGGUCGCUAUGGGUCUCUAUGGGUCGCUAUGGGUCCCACUAUGGGUCGCUAUGGGUCUCUAUGGGUCCCGCUAUGGGUCCUGCUAUGGGUUCCACUAUGGUUCACUAUGAGUCCCGCUAUGGGUCCCGCUAUGGGUCUCUAUGGGUCGCUAUGGGUCCCACUAUGGGUCGCUAUGGGUCUCUAUGGGUCCCGCUAUGGGUCCCGCUAUGGGUCGCUAUGCGUCUCUAUGGGUCCCGCUAUGGGUCCUGCUAUGUGUCCCGCUAUGGGUCGCUAUGGGUCCCGCUAUGGGUUCCACUAUGGGUCACUGAGUCCCACUAUGGGUCGCUAUGGGUCCCGUUAUGGGUCCCGCUAUGGGUCGCUGUGGGCCCCGCCACCCCAUCCCGCUCCACUUCCUACAGGGAAACCCCGCCCCGCCCCCAUGCCGCAAGCCACGCCCCCUCUCCCAUAUAAGGGCAAGCACCCCUCCCUCGGCCCCGCCCACACGGCUCAAGCACCGCCCCCUUCUCAAACCCCGCCCCCUUUUCAGACCACGCCCCCUCGGGGGCCGCGCCGCGUUUUUAUUGGCUCAGAGCAUCCCGCGCACGCGCGCCAGCGCCUCCUCCACCUUCCGCAGCUCCGCCUCCGCCUGCG